This 591-nucleotide ribosomal RNA is filed under the name Triticum aestivum (bread wheat). RNAcentral describes it as "partial small subunit ribosomal RNA". The record is from RNAcentral. Lineage: Eukaryota; Viridiplantae; Streptophyta; Magnoliopsida; Poales; Poaceae.
AUGCCUUCUUCAUUUCGAAUUUUUUCUUUUCGCUUUCUCGCCCCCUCGUCUCUUCCCCUUCCUAUUUUUCCAGCGGCGGAUACCUCGGUUGGUGGUCAGGUGUCCAGCGCUCUCCCAUCAGUUGCGCCGCCGCAUCUCCCGGCCGAGGUUUCUUACCUUGACCGUGUGCACUCUGGGUUGAAUUCUCUUCCUGACAGCAAGCCUAGAAUUCUGGUAUGGAGAGGUAACAAAGUUAAGGAUUUCUCGGAAUUACAUAAGAGCAACAGUCGUUCGUAUGGCAAGAGGCCGUUGAAGCGUUUAUCACCAUCAGUUUACGCACAGAAGUCUUGUGAAAAGUUUUCAUGUUCAGUAACCUAUAGUAUCCCCUUUGCCAAUAAGAUUUCAACAUCAGAAGUUCAUGCUCCAGCUGUUGAUAAUGUCUCUUUUGCCUGUAAAGCUGAAACGGCUUAUGCUUCACGGUUUGGAAAUGAUGUUGUGCAACAAAUAGUUGGACUUGUUCAGUCUUCAAAUGCCGCUAAGCCUCAGACUUUUCAAGAUUGGUCGGAGUCCCUUGUUUCAAGAUUUAUACUGGAUUUACAGUGUCCAGUGUAA